CCUACGCGUGGCAGCAGUGAGGAAUAUUGGUCAAUGGGCGAGAGCCUGAACCAGCCAAGUCGCGUGAGGGAGUACUGCCCUAUGGGUUGUAAACCUCUUUUGUCGGGGAGCAAAAGCCGGACGUGUCCGGCUGUGAGAGUACCCGAAGAAAAAGAAUCGGCUAACUCCGUGCCAGCAGCCGCGGUAAUACGGAGGAUGCGAGCGUUAUCCGGAUUUAGUGGGUUUAAAGGGUGCGCAGGCGGAUUUUUAAGUCAGCGGUCAAAUCGUGGGGCCAAACCCCAACCCGCCGUUGAAACUGGGGGUCUAGAGUGGGCGAGAGGGAUGCGGAAUGCGGGGUGUAGCGGUGAAAUGCAUAGAUAUCACGCAGAACCCCGAUUGCGAAGGCAGCAUGCCGGUGCACAACUGACGCUCAGGCACGAAAGCGUGGGUAUCGAACAGGAUUAGAUACCCGAGUAGUC
Molecule: ribosomal RNA, 458 nt
Filed under: uncultured bacterium
Lineage: Bacteria
Description: partial 16S ribosomal RNA
Rfam family: Bacterial small subunit ribosomal RNA
Source: RNAcentral